This 479-nucleotide ribosomal RNA is filed under the name uncultured bacterium. RNAcentral describes it as "bacterial SSU rRNA". It matches the Rfam family "Bacterial small subunit ribosomal RNA", at positions 28 to 507 of the family's 1533-position model. The record is from RNAcentral.
GACGAACGCUGGCGGCGUGCCUAACACAUGCAAGUCGAGCGGGGUUGAAGCGAGGGGUAACUCGGACUUCUACCUAGCGGCGGACGGGUGAGUAACGCGUGGGCAACCUGCCUCAAGGUUUGGGAUAACAGCUCGAAAGGGCUGCUAAUACCGGAUAUGCCUGUGGCCUCGCAUGGGGCUAUGAGCAAAGGGGAAACCCGCCUUGAGAUGGGCCCGCGUCCCAUCAGCUAGUUGGUGAGGUGAAGGCUCACCAAGGCGACGACGGGUAGCCGGCCUGAGAGGGUGACCGGCCACACUGGGACUGAGACACGGCCCAGACUCCUACGGGGGCAGCAGUGGGGGAUCUUGCACAAUGGGCGAAAGCCUGAUGCAGCGACGCCGCGUGAGCGAAGAAGGCCUUCGGGUUGUAAAGACUCUGUCUGGAGGGACGGAAACAAAUAGACGGUACCGUCCGGACGGAAGCCACGGCUAACUACGUG